This 103-nucleotide small nuclear RNA is filed under the name Dasypus novemcinctus (nine-banded armadillo). Lineage: Eukaryota; Metazoa; Chordata; Mammalia; Cingulata; Dasypodidae. The record is from RNAcentral.
NNGCUUCAACAGCACAUAUACUAAAAUUGGAACAAUACAGAGAAGAUUAGCAUGGCUCCUGUGCAAGGAUGACAAGCAAAUUUGUGAAGUGUUCCAUAUUGUA